CCUUCUCAGACAGCGAUGUUUGGUUGUGAGCGAUACUCGGAAGAGUUAGCUUGAAAAUGCUGGCCGGUGGCUGCAGUGGCCGUGGGUCUCUGCUGGACGUCUUCGUAGUAGGUUCUGCCAAUUCGGGGACGGCUGGCGGGGGUGAGCCCGUUGACGGCUGCGGGAAGGCGGCAGUGGCGAACAGUGUUCUUUUAAGU
This 197-nucleotide ribosomal RNA is filed under the name Arxiozyma telluris. Its description in RNAcentral is "Kazachstania telluris ribosomal RNA". Lineage: Eukaryota; Fungi; Ascomycota; Saccharomycetes; Saccharomycetales; Saccharomycetaceae. The record is from RNAcentral.